RNAcentral lists this ribosomal RNA (253 nucleotides) under uncultured bacterium. RNAcentral's name for it is "partial 16S ribosomal RNA". It matches the Rfam family "Bacterial small subunit ribosomal RNA", at positions 524 to 776 of the family's 1533-position model. The record is from RNAcentral.
UACGAAGGGGGCUAGCGUUGUUCGGAAUUACUGGGCGUAAAGGGCGCGUAGGCGGUACUUCAAGUCAGGCGUGAAAGCCCCGGGCUCAACCUGGGAACCGCGCUUGAGACUGGAGAACUAGAGUUCGGGAGAGGAUGGUGGAAUUCCCAGUGUAGAGGUGAAAUUCGUAGAUAUUGGGAAGAACACCGAUGGCGAAGGCAGCCAUCUAGACCGACACUGACGCUGAGGCGCGAAAGCGUGGGGAGCAAACAGG